RNAcentral lists this ribosomal RNA (402 nucleotides) under uncultured Clostridium sp. RNAcentral's name for it is "bacterial SSU rRNA". It matches the Rfam family "Bacterial small subunit ribosomal RNA", at positions 976 to 1380 of the family's 1533-position model. RNAcentral also lists the same sequence under 1 other name. Lineage: Bacteria; Bacillati; Bacillota; Clostridia; Eubacteriales; Clostridiaceae. The record is from RNAcentral.
UACACUUGACAUCCCUUGCAUUACUCUUAAUCGAGGAAAUCCCUUCGGGGACAAGGUGACAGGUGGUGCAUGGUUGUCGUCAGCUCGUGUCGUGAGAUGUUGGGUUAAGUCCCGCAACGAGCGCAACCCUUGUCGUUAGUUACUACCAUUAAGUUGAGGACUCUAGCGAGACUGCCUGGGUUAACCAGGAGGAAGGUGGGGAUGACGUCAAAUCAUCAUGCCCCUUAUGUGUAGGGCUACACACGUGCUACAAUGGCUGGUACAGAGAGAUGCAAUACCGCGAGGUGGAGCCAAACUUAAAAACCAGUCUCAGUUCGGAUUGUAGGCUGAAACUCGCCUACAUGAAGCUGGAGUUACUAGUAAUCGCGAAUCAGAAUGUCGCGGUGAAUACGUUCCCGGGUC